UACGGAGGGUGCAAGCGUUACUCGGAAUCACUGGGCGUAAAGAGUGCGUAGGCGGGGUAAUAAGUCAGAUGUGAAAUCCUGUAGCUUAACUACAGAACUGCAUUUGAAACUGUUACUCUGGAGUGUGGGAGAGGUAGGUGGAAUUCUUGGUGUAGGGGUAAAAUCCGUAGAGAUCAAGAGGAAUACUCAUUGCGAAGGCGACCUGCUGGAACAUUACUGACGCUGAUGCACGAAAGCGUGGGGAGCAAACAGG
This 253-nucleotide ribosomal RNA is filed under the name uncultured bacterium. Its description in RNAcentral is "partial 16S ribosomal RNA". It matches the Rfam family "Bacterial small subunit ribosomal RNA", at positions 524 to 776 of the family's 1533-position model. The record is from RNAcentral.